AAUUCGAAGAUACACGUAAGAACCUUACCUGGCCUUGACAUGGUAGGAACCCUUAAGAGAUUAGGGGGUGCUAGCUUGCUAGAACCUACACACAGGUGCUGCACGGCUGUCGUCAGCUCGUGUCGUGAGAUGUUGGGUUAAGUCCCGCAACGAGCGCAACCCUCGCCUUAGUUGCUAACAGUUCGGCUGAGCACUCUAGGGAGACUGCCUUCGCAGGGAGGAGGAAGGUGAGGACGACGUCAAGUCAUCAUGGCCCUUACGGCCAGGGCUACACACGUGCUACAAUGGGGCGUACAGAGAGCUGCGAUACCGCGAGGUGGAGCCAAUCUCUUAAAGCGUACUCUCAGUUCGGAUUGUUCUCUGCAACUCGAGAACAUGAAGCUGGAAUCACUAGUAAUCGCAGAUCAGCUAUGCUGCGGUGAAUACGUUCCCGGGUCUU
Molecule: ribosomal RNA, 439 nt
Filed under: uncultured Sulfuricurvum sp.
Lineage: Bacteria; Pseudomonadati; Campylobacterota; Epsilonproteobacteria; Campylobacterales; Sulfurimonadaceae
Description: bacterial SSU rRNA
Rfam family: Bacterial small subunit ribosomal RNA
Source: RNAcentral